RNAcentral lists this ribosomal RNA (468 nucleotides) under uncultured bacterium. Its description in RNAcentral is "partial 16S ribosomal RNA". It matches the Rfam family "Bacterial small subunit ribosomal RNA", at positions 28 to 507 of the family's 1533-position model. The record is from RNAcentral.
GACGAACGCUGGCGGCGUGCUUAACACAUGCAAGUCGAACGGAAAGGCCCUGCUUUUGUGGGGUGCUCGAGUGGCGAACGGGUGAGUAACACGUGAGUAACCUGCCCUUGACUUUGGGAUAACUUCAGGAAACUGGGGCUAAUACCGGAUAGGAGCUCCUGCUGCAUGGUGGGGGUUGGAAAGUUUCGGCGGUUGGGGAUGGACUCGCGGCUUAUCAGCUUGUUGGUGGGGUAGUGGCUUACCAAGGCUUUGACGGGUAGCCGGCCUGAGAGGGUGACCGGCGACAAUGGGACUGAGAUACGGCCCAGACGCCUACGGGAGGCAGCAGGGGGGAAUAUUGCACAAUGGGCGGAAGCCUGAUGCAGCAACGCCGCGUGCGGGAUGACGGCCUUCGGGUGGUAAACCGCUUUCGCCUGUGACGAAGCGUGAGUGACGGUAAUGGGUAAAGAAGCACCGGCUAACUACGUG